AUACGGAGGGUGCAGGCGUUACUCGGAAUCACUGGGCGUAAAGCGCGCGCAGGCGGGCUGAUAAGUUGGAUGUGAAAGCCUACGGCUCAACCGUAGAACUGCAUCCAAAACUGUCAGGCUAGAGUGUGGGAGAGGAAGAUGGAAUUAGUUGUGUAGGGGUAAAAUCCGUAGAGAUAACUAGGAAUACCAAAAGCGAAGGCAAUCUUCUGGAACACUACUGACGCUGAGGCGCGAAAGCGUGGGGAGCAAACAGGAUUAGAUACCCUAGUAGUCC
RNAcentral lists this ribosomal RNA (274 nucleotides) under uncultured bacterium. RNAcentral's name for it is "partial 16S ribosomal RNA". It matches the Rfam family "Bacterial small subunit ribosomal RNA", at positions 523 to 796 of the family's 1533-position model. The record is from RNAcentral.